This 73-nucleotide transfer RNA is filed under the name Ixodes scapularis (black-legged tick). It matches the Rfam family "tRNA". Rfam says of the family: Transfer RNA (tRNA) molecules are approximately 80 nucleotides in length. Their secondary structure includes four short double-helical elements and three loops (D, anti-codon, and T loops). The record is from Rfam by way of RNAcentral. Lineage: Eukaryota; Metazoa; Arthropoda; Arachnida; Ixodida; Ixodidae.
CCCUGGUUAGCUCAGUUGGUAGAGCGCUCCACUUGGAAUGGGGAGGUCCCGGGUUCAAUACCCGGACCAGGCG